UUUAUUUUGAUAUUAUUUUUUAUUGUUGAAAAAAUUAAUAAUAAUUUAUUGUUAAUAAAAAUUAAAAUUUAUAAUAUUUUUAUUUUUAUUUUUUAGUUUUAAAUAAAAAAAAUAAAAUUUAUAUAUAUAAAAAUUUUGUUAUGAAUUAUAAUAGUUUAUUUAUUUGUUUUUUAUAAUAAAUAAUAGUAUUUUUUUUAUUAUUUUAUAAAAAAAAAUAAUUUAAUUAUAAUUAUUAAAAGUAAUUUUGUUAUUUAGAAUAAUAUAUUAAUAUAAAUAACAAAAAUAUUAAAUAUUUUUUAAAUUUUUUGGGGAUUUAAGUUAUAAUUUUUUGUGUCUGCUCAGUGAAUUUAAAUAGCACUUUUAGCGUGAUUG
This 372-nucleotide ribosomal RNA is filed under the name Meloidogyne hapla. RNAcentral's name for it is "partial 16S ribosomal RNA". The record is from RNAcentral. Lineage: Eukaryota; Metazoa; Nematoda; Chromadorea; Rhabditida; Meloidogynidae.